UGCAGUCGAACGGUGAAGCCAAGCUUGCUUGGUGGAUCAGUGGCGAACGGGUGAGUAACACGUGAGCAACCUGCCCUGGACUCUGGGAUAAGCGCUGGAAACGGCGUCUAAUACUGGAUAUGAGCUCUCAUCGCAUGGUGGGGGUUGGAAAGAUUUUUCGGUCUGGGAUGGGCUCGCGGCCUAUCAGCUUGUUGGUGAGGUAAUGGCUCACCAAGGCGUCGACGGGUAGCCGGCCUGAGAGGGUGACCGGCCACACUGGGACUGAGACACGGCCCAGACUCCUACGGGAGGCAGCAGUGGGGAAUAUUGCACAAUGGGCGGAAGCCUGAUGCAGCAACGCCGCGUGAGGGAUGACGGCCUUCGGGUUGUAAACCUCUUUUAGCAGGGAAGAAGCGAGAGUGACGGUACCUGCAGAAAAAGCGCCGGCUAACUACGUGCCAGCAGCCGCGGUAAUACGUAGGGCGCAAGCGUUAUCCGGAAUUAUUGGGCGUAAAGAGCUCGUAGGCGGUUUGUCGCGUCUGCUGUGAAAUCCCGAGGCUCAACCUCGGGCCUGCAGUGGGUACGGGCAGACUAGAGUGCGGUAGGGGAGAUUGGAAUUCCUGGUGUAGCGGUGGAAUGCGCAGAUAUCAGGAGGAACACCGAUGGCGAAGGCAGAUCUCUGGGCCGUAACUGACGCUGAGGAGCGAAAGGGUGGGGAGCAAACAGGCUUAGAUACCCUGGUAGUCCACCCCGUAAACGUUGGGAACUAGUUGUGGGGACCAUUCCACGGUUUCCGUGACGCAGCUAACGCAUUAAGUUCCCCGCCUGGGGAGUACGGCCGCAAGGCUAAAACUCAAAGGAAUUGACGGGGACCCGCACAAGCGGCGGAGCAUGCGGAUUAAUUCGAUGCAACGCGAAGAACCUUACCAAGGCUUGACAUACACCAGAACACCGUAGAAAUACGGGACUCUUUGGACACUGGUGAACAGGUGGUGCAUGGUUGUCGUCAGCUCGUGUCGUGAGAUGUUGGGUUAAGUCCCGCAACGAGCGCAACCCUCGUUCUAUGUUGCCAGCACGUAAUGGUGGGAACUCAUGGGAUACUGCCGGGGUCAACUCGGAGGAAGGUGGGGAUGACGUCAAAUCAUCAUGCCCCUUAUGUCUUGGGCUUCACGCAUGCUACAAUGGCCGGUACAAAGGGCUGCAAUACCGUGAGGUGGAGCGAAUCCCAAAAAGCCGGUCCCAGUUCGGAUUGAGGUCUGCAACUCGACCUCAUGAAGUCGGAGUCGCUAGUAAUCGCAGAUCAGCAACGCUGCGGUGAAUACGUUCCCGGGUCUUGUACACACCGCCCGUCAAGUCAUGAAAGUCGGUAACACCUGAAGCCGGUGGCCCAACCCUUGUGGAGGGAGCCGUCGA
RNAcentral lists this ribosomal RNA (1392 nucleotides) under Microbacterium zeae. Its description in RNAcentral is "bacterial SSU rRNA". It matches the Rfam family "Bacterial small subunit ribosomal RNA". The record is from RNAcentral. RNAcentral also lists the same sequence under 1 other name. Lineage: Bacteria; Bacillati; Actinomycetota; Actinomycetes; Micrococcales; Microbacteriaceae.